RNAcentral lists this ribosomal RNA (420 nucleotides) under bacterium Ellin6112. RNAcentral describes it as "bacterial SSU rRNA". It matches the Rfam family "Bacterial small subunit ribosomal RNA", at positions 69 to 476 of the family's 1533-position model. Lineage: Bacteria; Bacillati; Bacillota; Bacilli; Caryophanales; Paenibacillaceae. The record is from RNAcentral.
GGAUCAUUCCUUCGGGGAUGGCUUAGCGGCGGACGGGUGAGUAACACGUAGGCAACCUGCCUGCAAGAUCGGGAUAACAUUCGGAAACGAAUGCUAAUACCGGAUACACAAUUUCCUCGCAUGGGGAGAUUGGGAAAGACGGCGCAAGCUGUCACUUGCAGAUGGGCCUGCGGUGCAUUAGCUAGUUGGUGGGGUAAYGGCUCACCAAGGCGACGAUGCAUAGCCGACCUGAGAGGGUGAUCGGCCACACUGGGACUGAGACACGGCCCAGACUCCUACGGGAGGCAGCAGUAGGGAAUCUUCCGCAAUGGACGAAAGUCUGACGGAGCAACGCCGCGUGAGUGAUGAAGGUUUUCGGAUCGUAAAGCUCUGUUGCCAGGGAAGAACAGCCAGGCGAGUAAAUGCGCUUGGAAUGACGGU